UCUACUCUUUGAGCUCUUCAACAGGUGUGAGUCUCCUUGUGAGGUCUCUGUGCAGUCCAAUAACAGUGGACCAUAGUGGUCGCCAUGGCGAAGUCUCCCCGCAGGCCUGAAUAAGUGACAUCAUCAUCAACCAAUCAACACACUGAAAGGGGUAUUAUUUAUUGUUCCCACAGUGCAGAGGUGAUACAAGAAGAAGUCUGGAAAACAAAUCAAGAUGAGACGUAGAGAUCUGUGGUCGUGUUUGAGAUAUUUUGAACAAAGUUUUUAAUUGAUUAAGGACUCUUUUCUUUUUUUUAGAGUAACUUGUUUUUGUAAAGAACUGAGCACUUUUACAGACUUGUGCACGAGAGAAAAUGCAAGAAAAGGUCCAGCAGCCCUAAUGAUGAACAGUAAAUUAACAAUAUUUAGUUUUAGGUUUUGUUUAUCUGUGCAUAUGCAAAUGAUUAAGUCCUAAGCAGACAUGCAUCCAUACAUUUUAUGUGCCCUGUUUUCCAGUGAUAACGUGUCAUUUUCAGUUGUUUUCUUGAGAUGAUGCUCAGGUCCACAACCCGGUACAAACCAGUGAGGUGAGGUGAUGUGCUUGCUGCAUGGGGUAGCAAGCUGUACGUGACAUCAUUUCUCACAAAGGGGAAACAACUAAGAGGUCUUUCCAGAUGAAAGAAAAAGAAGUCCCACGUGUGAGCAGCAACUUCUUAGAGGAGAAUUUAAUCCCAAAGCUGCUGUUUGCCUCAAGGUUUCACCCGUGUGGUCAGUUAGGCCAGAUGUCGGAUAAGUGAAGAAGUUAAGUGGGACUUAAUUUGAAUGCUGAAACGUGACAGAAUGAAUAUUUCUAUUGUCAUUUUAUACUCUUGAAUAUACAGCUUUGACAUCUGUAAUGAAGUUCCCCUGAGAGCCCGUAUAACUCUUCAUCUUCACUGACCUGAACUCAAGCUUGAUUAAAGAAGUCUUUUUACCUAAGCAGAAUGUUUCAGCAGAUGGCGCUAUAGUGCAACAGAAAGAGGUCUAAAAACUGUUCCUACAACUACUUAACCAUCUACCAAACCUGAAAAGUCUAAGUGACAACACAUACCUAUGAUCUAACACCGUCCUGUUGUAGCGCUGUUGUUUGUUUUUUUGCAGCCGAGAAUGUGUAUUAUUUCUCAAGUAUUUCCUCCAUGUGUUCAUCAGCUGACUGACACACCAUCCACUUUCUUAUACUCAAAACAGCCCACCAGCAUAUUUCCCAUGCCUCCUCGGAGCCAUGCAGAGCUCCAGGGAGAGAUGAGGGCUACGUGGGACGUGUCUCCUCACGUCGCCCCCUCUCCCAGUGCCAGCACUACUGGCUCUAAUCCUCCAUGGCGUACCUGGCAGAUCUCUCUGGCGACACCGGCUCUGAGCGCUGCUGGCGUUGUUGCAGCCUGGCCCGGCCCUGCACACCAGCAUCCCCUCUAAUCCUCCCCGCCUGCACCGCCCCGAAGGCCCAGCAGCCUGCAGGGAAGUAGGGCAACGGAGGUGAAGCAGAAAGAGUCAGUCAAUCUCAGUUGUAACUAAACACAGAGAGUUCCUUGGAUUUGUUGCUAUUGGACUCUGUAACCCCCCCCCCGGUCCUUCCUCCAACCUCCUCCUCCUCCUCUAUGCGUUGUCACUUUCCCCACGAUGUCAAAGGUCAGGUGUGGGAGAGGGGACUGGGGUCUGAAUGGAGAGCCUGGGGACAGUCUCCGUUAGUGAGGGAUUAAGUUGCUGCUGUGUGGAGAAAGGUGGAGGCAUCGCAGAGUCACACAGACACUCAUCAAUGAGGAUAUUUUGUUAAGAGAAAGAAAAACUCUCACAAAGUCAUGAUAAGCUCCUGGAAAUAACAACUGACAACACAUGAACCGGUGAACCCGUAAGUAUUUGUGUCACUUACGGACAUUUCAUCGACAACCCAACAGAAGCUGAAACAGCCACUCGUCCCUUUAAGGUUCAACUUAAAUAACUACAAUAAUGUGCAGCAAAUCAUGCGGUGAAUACUGCAAUUCAUGUCAUAUUUUCACUCCAAAUAUUGAUCCCGACAUGAUGAAAGGAACAACUGAGCUUCAGCGUUCGUGCAAAGUCUGCAGCUGUCUUUAUCAUUUAAAAAAAAUAGUCCAGUCUUAGUGUGUGUGCUUUGGAGGCUUCUAGUUUCAACCUCACUUUAUUGUUAAUGAUAAUACUUCCAAACUAGGUGUGAUGGUACAAAAAAUGCUCUAACAUACAGGAGCUUUAUUAAUAUUUAAAGUGACAGCCAAGAAACCUCCAAAAAUACUGCUCAGUGAAGGUCGAGCAUGCAUGUGCACUAAAAACAAAAACACAUUUUCAUUGCUUAUUACUGAACAUGUUCUGUUUCCAGAUAGAUGGUGAACACCUCAGUUCUUACCAUUUCAUGUCAUUCAAUGAAACCUUUAUUGCCCUGAGGGGAAUCUGUCUUCAACCAAGAGCAUAAAAACAUAAAACAACCAUACAGGGAAAAAAAUAGAAACAGGAAUCUCAUAUCAUUAGUCCAACAUUUUCCUGCCGCCAUAUUUUUCUUCCAUCUUGCUUGUAACUUCUUCUUGGGCCAAUUCAAUUUAGUUCACAUUGCCCUCCUUUAUGUAACAUGCACCAUUAUGACGAGUCCUGUAGUGGUGACUCAAAGAGUUGAAUUAGCAGGCGACUAGUUUAGAACACUAUCAUUUUUGAACAAUAUUUGGCACCAGUAAUUUAAUAAUUGUAUCACACAAGUCAGGACUACGAUAUAUUGCUGUAUUGACAUUUUAAACCUCCCCUAGUCAGAACAGAUCCGUCAUGAACUACAGGAGCUUGGACAAAGUCGUAGUCCUGCCAGAUCGCUACUUCAGCUUGGCCUUGGCUGUUAUUUAGUGGCAGCUGACCAAACUAUGGGGUGAAGUGGCAGCUCACAGACAAGACUGACUGUGUUGUUAAUAUUAGCAUAUUGCAGAAUUACCUGCGCAGAGAUGUGAAGAAUGGUUAUCGUUAGCAGGUUCUGCCGGGCCCUGGACCUCCAGAGCGUUGCUCCACACAUACAGAGUGACACUGUUGAGUAAGUUUGUCCUUUACCCUGACCCUCACAACUGCGGCAACUUGUAAAGCAGUCGGUCCAGAGAUCAGAAACAGAGAGCACAAAUCAUUAUUUCUACUUGUAAAAUAUGAACAUCAAACGCAGCGUUCCUUCAAAGGCCUCACAAACCGCCAAGAUGAAAGCUGCUGUUUGUGGUGGCAUCUUUUCAAAACGAUUGUCUUUGGUCAGUUACCGUGACAUCUCGUCCAUCUCCUCCGUCCCCAGGCCUUAAAAAUCCAAAUUCCUGUUGAAGAAUGUGGCGAGUGCGUUUAAUGAAGCCAAGCCGUGGCUCCGCUAAUGAGUCAAGUCCAGUAAUGGCCGGAAUCCCUCGUCAGACAAAGCAGCCAAAUACCUGAUGGCUACCAAUCAUGUUCUCUUCUUCAUGGGAAAAAAUGCACGCAGUUUAUUUUGCUGUCUUUCAUGUCCCCAAUUAAGAGGGACAGUUGAGGGCAGAUUGCUCCAAUGCAGAUGGAGUUAAGGUGAAACACAGGGCAUGCAGUCAUUAAAGAUGAAUCAUUUAAUUGACUUUUCAUAAAGACGGAUGAGUGUUUAUGAUUAACAGCAAAUGAAACAAUGAAAAAUUCACAGUAAAGGCUCACAUGGGACGAGUAUUGACAACCACAAACCCUAUAUUAGAAAUGGACGUAGCCUCUUUACUUAAGUGAAGCUGAUGUCAGAUUUACAACUUUAAGAAAGAACA
Long non-coding RNA from Labrus mixtus (cuckoo wrasse), 3755 nucleotides. RefSeq lists it as uncharacterized. The transcript is spliced from 2 exons. The record is from RefSeq and is a predicted model, not a curated record. Lineage: Eukaryota; Metazoa; Chordata; Actinopteri; Labriformes; Labridae.